Molecule: long non-coding RNA, 2915 nt
Filed under: Setaria viridis
Lineage: Eukaryota; Viridiplantae; Streptophyta; Magnoliopsida; Poales; Poaceae
Description: long non-coding RNA (SVIR_LNC004850)
Source: RNAcentral
AUGGCUCGUAAGAGGUGUCACGAAGUAUGUGAUUUUACCGACAGUGACUCUGAAUAAGAUGUUGAGACUCAUUCUGCUGAGGAAUAUUCAAUUCCAAAUGUUUAUCAUAUCAUCUUGAUUUGUUCUCUUGAUCCUAGUUCAUCAUAUCAUCUUCACUUGACAAGCUAUGCAUGGUGAUCUUCGAUUCCAAAUGUUUGUCAUGGUUAGUUCUAAUAAUAAAAUUUAUUUCUAGUAUAUUUUUUCUAUAGUAUCAAAUUUUCUUACCUCAGCUCCUUUAUGUUUCUCAUUCACUGGAAUCUGUUCAUAUUCUUCUAGCAUUGCAUGAUGGAGUUUGAUUUCAUGCAAUAUAGAAGAAGAAAAAUAACUAUGGUAUGUAUUGCCCUCUAUUUUUAAAUAAUGUCAUAUUUAUCUAAGUUCAUAUAUAUUCGUACCUCAAAUCCAUACCUUUUAGUAAGUAUGUCCAUGUAAGUUGCUGGUUCAUUAUGUAAAAUUUUAAGAACUUCUUUGUUUAAAUUAUCAUGAAACCAUUUGUAUACUAUUAUGUUACCAUGACUUAUAAAGUUUACCAUUUCAAAAUUAGCUUCAGGUACAUCCAAACAUGUCUCCUUCUCCUGUGAAUUUGUUAUCUGUUCCAUUAACAACCCAGUGUCUGUACCCUGCAAGUUCAAUGCAAUUCAAUCAGUAUUUAGAAUCAUCAUGUUUUCCAUUUAUUCUCAGUCACGAAUAUAUACCUGUUGACUGUUAAAUAAUGUGUUUAGAUAGUCAUGUGGACUAUGUGUUUCAACAUGCCCAUGAAUUUCUAAGUUCACCCCCUGUGUAUUGAAAUGCAUCAUUUUAAAAAUUUAUUAUGAAUUAGUUUAAAACAUUUGAUUUGGAAAUGUGUACAUUUUAAACAUUUACUUGGAUGAAUCUUAUAUACAAGCAUCUACCUGUACUGUCUGAUACAUGCCUGACUUUCCUUUGUUUUGUAAUUCAAAUUCAUCCUUCUAUUUGAUUCCAACAAGCUACUGCUUUGUCUGUAUUGUUCCUGAAAUAUUUUGCAAUACAUCUAACUGACAGUUCAUAUGUACUCGAUAUUAAUAAGCAAUACUACUAGCAUUCGAGAUCUAUGCAUAUGUGAAUAACUAUUUUUCAUACAAGAGUUUAAUAUCAUAUCUAGUCAACCUUUGCAUCUAUACCUUUUUCUGUUUUCGGAUCAUGCCAAGCUCUAUAUUCCCCUAAUGAAUAUAUUAUUUUCUAAAUCCCUAUGAAGCUAAUCAUAGUGUCAUUUUAAUGCAGUUGACCCCAAGCUAACUAUUUUUGACAUUCUUUAAUUCUAUAAUAUGAGCAUGAGAUAUGUUGUCAGAUAUAAUUUGUGUUCUAUACUAUUUACAGUUCUAACAUUAGUCAUUUACAGUAGUUUAGAAACUGUAAAUAUAUCAUUUAGUCCUGUAAAUAAAGAUAUUUUAGUUGGGUUUGCUAACUCAAUGUUGGAAAAUAAUUCUGGUCUGCUUGGGGUUGCUACAUCAAUGUAAGUAAAUACUAUUGAUAUUGGACUAAGGUUUUCAUCUGAGGGGUUUCCACUUUAUUAAAAUAAUUUAUUAUUUGACUGACCAUAGAAAAAAUCUGUUAAGCUGUUUAAUUUAGAUUUUCAUCAUAUUUUAGAUCUGGAUUUUUGAAUAAGGUUAGAGUUUUUACUCAAACAAAGUAGUAUCUAUUUUUCCUCUUCACUAUUUUUUGGUUAUGUUUUGCACUUUCAAUUUGGAUGUGUUCCAAUUAUUGAUAAGUACAGGUAAAUUUCAAUGUAGCUUUCAUUAUCAGAUAAAAUAUCCUAUGCUAUUUAUAAUGUUAACUUUAUUCAUUUACAGUGCUUUAGAAACUUUAAAUUGUAUUUUUAAGUCCUAUAAAUAAGAUGAUAUUUUUAAAGAUUAAAGAUAAUUUGAUUGCAUUUGCUCACUUAAUGUAAAAAAUAAUCUGGAGGGUUUGCUAUCUCGAUGUAGGAAAGGUUGGGUUUUGCAUUUUAGUGGGCCACUGGAGCCUAAAAUUUGUUAAUCUGGUGGUUAGCUUGACCCACUUCCAAAAAUUAUUUGUUAUUUGACUGACUAUAGAAAAAAUAUGUUAAGCUGUUUGACUUUUGGGUUUCACCAUUAAUGUAAUCAUGUUUUUUGCGUCAUACUUAGCUUUUAGGUUAGAUUCUUGUUUGUUGCUCUGUUAUUUAAGCUGGUUUUUCUUUACUGUUUUGUUUGAAGCAUUGUUUAUACUAGGAUGUGGAUACAUAUCAUUUCAUUCAUACUUGUCCUAAUUAAGCUUUCUAUCCCUUUUCUAGGUCUAUGGCACAAGUGUUUUUCUUAAUUUUGAGUUUGGAUUAGAGGUAUUACUCAGUGUAGGAUAAUUAAAUUUGUAAAUGACCUGUUGUUUCUAAAUUAGAUACUAAAUUUGUGUGCUUAAGCAUUUAUAGUUUUUAGAUCACUAAGUGACUGUGAUGGCGUUACUGUUAAUUCCAUUAUUAUGCCUGUAAUUGAAAUUUGUGGGUUUUAUGUUAUUUCUGUAGGCUAGGUUUUCAUCAGAGGGGGUUUCCACUUUUCUAAAAUUAUUUGUUAUUUGAUUGACCAUUUAAAAAUCUGGUAAGCUGUUUAAUUUGGGUUUUUCUAUCAAACUAAUAUUGCUAUUUGCAUCAUAUUUUCAGCUUAUAUCUGAAAUUUCUAUUCUGUUCAUUAGGGAUAGCUUCAUAUGUAGGUUUGACUGGUUUUAUUUUCAAUUUGCUAGAUACUUGUGGUAAUCCAGAUCCUAAUUCUUUUUCUGUUUGCAUUGCAACAACAUCGUCUUGGUGAAAACGCUUUUGCAGGAAAGAUGUUCCGAUCACUCGUGACAACAUGACCUAUCUAGGUAUAAAAGAUGGUCCUCAAGACUGCCUUGUUCUAGCUUGGUCUGCUACU